RNAcentral lists this ribosomal RNA (497 nucleotides) under uncultured bacterium. Its description in RNAcentral is "partial 16S ribosomal RNA". It matches the Rfam family "Bacterial small subunit ribosomal RNA", at positions 28 to 507 of the family's 1533-position model. The record is from RNAcentral.
GACGAACGCUGGCGGCGUGCCUAAUACAUGCAAGUUGAGCGCUGAAGGUUGGUGCUUGUACCAACUGGAAGAGCAGCGAACGGGUGAGUAACGCGUGGGGAAUCUGCCUUUGAGCGGGGGACAACAUUUGGAAACGAAUGCUAAUACCGCAUAAUAACUUUAAACAUAAGUUUUAAGUUUGAAAGAUGCAAUUGCAUCACUCAAAGAUGAUCCCGCGUUGUAUUAGCUAGUUGGUGAGGUAAAGGCUCACCAAGGCGAUGAUACAUAGCCGACCUGAGAGGGUGAUCGGCCACACUGGGACUGUGACACGCCCCAAACGCCUACGGGAGGGAGCAGGAGGGAAUCUUCGGCAAGGGACGAAAGUCUGACCGCGCAACGCCGAGGGAGGGAAGAAGGUUGUCGGAUCGUAAAACUCGGUUGGUAGAGAAGAACGUUGGUGAGAGUGGAAAGCUCAUCAAGUGACGGUAACUACUCAGAAAGGGACGGCUAACUACGUG